AGCAGCCGCGGUAAUUCCAGCUCCAAUAGCGUAUAUUAAAGUUGUUGCAGUUAAAAAGCUCGUAGUUGAAUUUCGGGAUUGGCGCAUCGGUCGUGCCUCACGGGGUAUGAACUGGUGCAGUCAAUUUCUCACCUUCUGGAGAACCGCGAUGUCCUUAAUUGGAUGCCGCGGGGAACCAGGACCUUUACUUUGAAAAAAUUAGAGUGUUUAAAGCAGGCAUUUUUGCUUGAAUACAUUAGCAUGGAAUAAUAAAAUAGGACGGCAUGGUUCUAUUUUGUUGGUUUCUAGGACCACCGUAAUGAUUAAUAGGGAUAGUUGGGGGCAUUAGUAUUCAAUUGUCAGAGGUGAAAUUCUUGGAUUUAUUGAAGACUAACUACUGCGAAAGCAUUUGCCAAGGAUGUUUUCAUUAAUCAAGAACGAAAGUUAGGGGAUCGAAGACGAUCAGAUACCAUCGUAGUCUUAACCAUAAACUAUGCCGACUAGGAAUCAGACGA
Molecule: ribosomal RNA, 494 nt
Filed under: uncultured Entrophospora
Lineage: Eukaryota; Fungi; Glomeromycota; Glomeromycetes; Entrophosporales; Entrophosporaceae
Description: SSU rRNA
Rfam family: Eukaryotic small subunit ribosomal RNA
Source: RNAcentral